Non-coding RNA from Ictidomys tridecemlineatus (thirteen-lined ground squirrel), 3153 nucleotides. The record is from RefSeq and is a predicted model, not a curated record. NCBI's taxonomy places the organism in Eukaryota, Metazoa, Chordata, Mammalia, Rodentia, Sciuridae.
CCCCCUCCCGGGGGUGAGCUCCGUGAGCAGCACAGGUGCCGGUGUAGACGGGAGGGCAGUCCCCUUCUGAGUGCGCCCAGACAUCUGGAAUAUUCUAAAAACAGAGGAGGACACGCACCCUGGUCCUGAGGGAGUGUGGGAGGGGGGCUGCUUCCUGCUGGCGGCCAGAGCCGAGGCCACUCCCUGUCACCCACGCUUGGGCGGUCAGCAGUCUCCGGGCCUUGGGACUCAGUGUCUUCCUGCUAAUUUAUGGGGCGACACGUUCCUCUAGGAAACGGGGCAGAGAGCCAGAGAUCCCCUCUUGUACUGUUCCUUCCCCUUCAAGGGGGAUGGAGCUUUCUCAGGAAGGAGUCAAAUGCCCGCUGCCCGUUUAUUCUGCAAGUGUCAGAUGCAGCGUGGGGACAACUGAGAGGUGAUGGGUCCCGGGAGACGUCCCCAAGGAUGAGGGGCGAAGCCGUGAGUGGGUGACUUUAAAGACUGUUUCAAAGUCAGGGGUGUGGGGACCCCGAAGACCACCGCCUGAGGUGCUGGCCCGGCCCAGGGCAAGCUGAGCAGCCCCCUGGUGUCUCGUGGUUGGUGAGAAAUGCAGAGACACCAAGUGGGGACCGGGAGGCUCCGUGGGCGUGGCCACCCCCAGGACCUGAGCCAAGAACCCCCACCAAGCCAGGGCUCUGCGUGCAUGUGGCCUGCUGCUUCCCGAAGAGCCGCAGGGUCGGUGCCACGGUGCCAGGUACAGAUGCAAAGACUGAGGCUCCUGCGCAGAUGCGGUCCCAGAAAGCCACAGCAUGGCCCCAGAGAGGGGCCACACUAGGCAUGUGCUCCCCUGCACCUCCAGGCGGCUCUGAGCCAACGGGCCACGGUGCUGGGGCCCAUUUUCAGGAAGGGCCAUUUUUGGGGUAUUAAAAACAGAGAUAUAGCCCCUAAAAAGGCUGCGUAAAGAAAAACACAGCAGGUGACCUUCCGGAAGCAUCCUGUGGACUCCACGGGACUCGGGCCAGGGAUCCAGCUGCUGUGGACAGCAGAUGGUGAUGACAGAGGACGGUGAGUCCAGCUCCUGCUUUCAAGCAGAAUCAGGGCCGGCUGGCGGGUUUCCAUUCACCAGUGUUUCCAUAAGAUGCGGGUCAGGUUCCCAGAGAUGCCCAACCCUGAUGCCAAAGAGAAUCGGAGAGAUCUACAAGGGGCUUAAAGAGGCAGCAGCACUGCUUUUCAGGUACAACUGGUUUGUUCCACACAGGGACAUUGAGACAGGUCCCUGGAGAAGGUGCGAGUGAAAAGGAGGUGGCAGGUGUAGGAGCUUCGUCCUUUGAGGAGGGUCCCUUGAGGGUUAGACGUUGUUCUGGACCCAGUUUUGAGAGAUGCUUAUACAUGCCUUCUUCCUCCAUGACUCCUGGUCAGUGUCCUUCCCUCUGCUGUGGUUUCGUUGAUGCUGGGCCGAAUCCCCAGGACAACGGCCACAUUGUCAGUCAAGUUGAGCUGGCUCUCCACUUGCAGCUAGGGGUCUCAGCUUGCCCAUUUUGAGGCUGGGUAACCUCCACUGGGUGUCUGAUCUGUAUUAGCAGUGCCCGUCUCCUUCCCAGCCCCUUCCCCGCCCCAGGACACUGCAAGGAAAACAGAGGGACGAUCCUGGCCCCGAGCCUAUAUGGGACUCCCAGAGCUGGGGGUGCGGGGGCUGGCGGGGUGGGUGCUGGUCAGCGGGAGAGCUGGGCUCCAGUGCUGUCAAGUCCACAUGUGUGUACUUCCUCAGCACUUUCAGGACCUGAGGGCUAAGUACAGCUCUCAGGGAUUUAGGAAUGAAGGGGAAACCAAAGGUGGGUAAGUUGCUGGGUGCCCAGAUGCAUCUUGUGGUUUCAGGUCAAGGCCACCUAAAACUCAUCUUCCAUAGAUCUCAGCACUGUCCUGCCUCUGCCAUACCACACACCCAACUGGAAGAUAUAUAGCUGUAUAUUUUAUUUUUUGGUUCAUUGAUUGGUUGAUUGGCAGAGGCAGGUUUAUUUGCUUGAGUGUCUUGGCAGCCCUAGCAACUGGUCGAAGCACCUCUGAGCUCUACUGCAGCUCUCCAUGUUGGCGACUGAUGGAGCCAUGGCCCAGGCCAGCUUCACAACUCCAGAUGGUCUGUGGGUCUCUGCUGGCCCCUCCCCAGCCUCCCUCAUCACACAGCACGUGGCCCCUGGACCAGCAGCAGCAGCAGCACCUAGGAGCCCGCUGGGCAUGCAGAAUCCUGGCCCACCCCAGGACUACUGAAUCAGCCCCUGCCCUUGUAACAUUCCCUAAGCUUGAGGGGACCCUGAAGCAUGAGUGGCACCUGCCUUGGAACAUGGCUGUCCUCCUGCAGGAGGCAGGGAUCCAAGGCCUAGAAGCCGGAGGCCCUUCACACCCCAGCCUCCACCCUUGUCCUUUCUUCUACCUUUCGUCCACCAAUGCCUCCCACCUAGUUUUGCAAGUAGAAAUGCUGAAGCCAGAGACGGCAGAGACCUGCCCUUUGCCCUCCACUGGCCGAGCUGGGUGACAGCUGCAUCCCUUGGGAGUUGCGCAGCUCUUGUCCAUGUCCCAGGAUGGCUCUGUCUUCUGAUCAAGCAAAAAUCUAAGCAGCCAUGACCCACUCAACCCACAGAUGCCGGGGGCUGAACCACAGAGAAGCAGCUUUUCUCCAUGAUCAAGUGUCCAUUUACUGACAAUUCUUCAGUGCUACAAAAUUUGAAGCAACCUUUGUAGGAUAUUUGGUGGCCAUGUUGCCGUCACAUGUUGGAUGGCAGGUGAUCGAAAUGCAGCUGCAGAUGGCAUGGGCCCUGGAAUCGAUUGUUCAAAUUAUGUCACUUUUUCAGAUAGGACUUUGAUUUAUAGCUGCAGAAACAAUUUUUUUUAAUGGAAUCACAGAACUACUGCAGGGUUCUUUUGCAGCAAGGAGAUCUGCUCUUCCCAGGCCCCUCACUGGGUCAUUGCUCCUCCAACUCCUGUGCUUCCACCCAAUGGCAUUGUGCCUGGUGACAGGGAUGGCAUGUUCCCAUUUGUUCCUAUCCCGGGUUCUGGCAUGCCAGGUGCUGGUAAAUGUUGGUUGAAUGAAUAAAUAUAAACGAGUCUGUGACUCGGUGGAACUUGCCUGGGUUUCUCUGAUCCUCACUGCAGGUUUGUCUACACAAAGUCUAUUUAUCCGCA